This 433-nucleotide ribosomal RNA is filed under the name uncultured bacterium. RNAcentral describes it as "partial 16S ribosomal RNA". It matches the Rfam family "Bacterial small subunit ribosomal RNA", at positions 29 to 507 of the family's 1533-position model. The record is from RNAcentral.
AACGAACGCUGGCGGCAUGCCUAACACAUGCAAGUCGAACGAGACCUUCGGGUCUAGUGGCGCACGGGUGCGUAACGCGUGGGAACCUGCCCUUAGGUUCGGAAUAACUCCCCGAAAGGGGUGCUAAUACCGGAUAAUGUCUUCGGACCAAAGAUUUAUCGCCUUUGGAUGGGCCCGCGUUGGAUUAGCUAGUUGGUAGGGUAAAAGCCUACCAAGGCGACGAUCCAUAGCUGGUCUGAGAGGAUGAUCAGCCACACUGGGACUGAGACACGGCCCAGACUCACACGGGAGGCAGCAGUGGGGAAUAUUGGACAAUGGGCGAAAGCCUGAUCCAGCAAUGCCGCGUGAGUGAUGAAGGCCUUAGGGUUGUAAAGCUCUUUUACCCGGGAUGAUAAUGACAGUACCGGGAGAAUAAGCGCCGGCUAACUCCGUG